AGGGCAGGAGGAAACGUUCCGGGCCUUGUACACACCGCCCGUCACACCAUGAGAGUUUGUAACACCCAAAGUCGGUGGGGUAACCUUUUAGGAGCCAGCCGCCUAAGGUGGGACAGAUGAUUAGGGUGAAGUCGUAACAAGGUAGCCGUAGGAGAACCUGCGGCUGGAUCACCUCCUU
This 178-nucleotide ribosomal RNA is filed under the name Limosilactobacillus fermentum. RNAcentral describes it as "Lactobacillus fermentum partial 16S ribosomal RNA". It matches the Rfam family "Bacterial small subunit ribosomal RNA", at positions 1355 to 1532 of the family's 1533-position model. The record is from RNAcentral. Lineage: Bacteria; Bacillati; Bacillota; Bacilli; Lactobacillales; Lactobacillaceae.